RNAcentral lists this ribosomal RNA (464 nucleotides) under Vreelandella stevensii. Its description in RNAcentral is "partial 16S ribosomal RNA". It matches the Rfam family "Bacterial small subunit ribosomal RNA", at positions 339 to 795 of the family's 1533-position model. Lineage: Bacteria; Pseudomonadati; Pseudomonadota; Gammaproteobacteria; Oceanospirillales; Halomonadaceae. The record is from RNAcentral.
CCUCGGGCGGCUGCAGUGGGGAAUAUUGGACAAUGGGCGAAAGCCUGAUCCAGCCAUGCCGCGUGUGUGAAGAAGGCCUUCGGGUUGUAAAGCACUUUCAGUGGGGAAGAAAGCCUUGGGGCUAAUACCCUCGAGGAAGGACAUCACCCACAGAAGAAGCACCGGCUAACUCCGUGCCAGCAGCCGCGGUAAUACGGAGGGUGCGAGCGUUAAUCGGAAUUACUGGGCGUAAAGCGCGCGUAGGCGGUCUGAUAAGCCGGUUGUGAAAGCCCCGGGCUCAACCUGGGAACGGCAUCCGGAACUGUCAGGCUAGAGUGCAGGAGAGGAAGGUAGAAUUCCCGGUGUAGCGGUGAAAUGCGUAGAGAUCGGGAGGAAUACCAGUGGCGAAGGCGGCCUUCUGGACUGACACUGACGCUGAGGUGCGAAAGCGUGGGUAGCAAACAGGAUUAGAUACCCGAGUAGUC